UGUGUUGAGUUUCUCAGGGCCGUCUCUUUGUUCAGUCUAUCUACUCUCUAGGUGAGGACUGUGUAGGACUAGGUGAGGACUCUGUGUAGGACUAGGUGAGGACUCUGUGUAGGACUAGGUGAGGACUCUGUGUAGGACUAGGUGAGGACUCUGUGUAGGACUAGGUGAGGACUCUGUGUAGGACUAGGUGAGGACUCUGUGUAGGACUAGGUGAGGACUCUGUGUAGGACUAGGUGAGGACUCUGUGUAGGACUAGGUGAGGACUCUGUGUAGGACUAGGUGAGGACUCUGUGUAGGACUAGGUGAGGACUCUGUGUAGGACUAGGUGAGGACUCUGUGUAGGACUAGGUGAGGACUCUGUGUAGGACUAGGUGAGGACUCUGUGUAGGACUAGGUGAGGACUCUGUGUAGGACUAGGUGAGGACUCUGUGUAGGACUAGGUGAGGACUCUGUGUAGGACUAGGUGAGGACUCUGUGUAGGACUAGGUGAGGACUCUGUGUAGGACUAGGUGAGGACUCUGUGUAGGACUAGGUGAGGACUCUGUGUAGGACUAGGUGAGGACUCUGUGUAGGACUAGGUGAGGACUCUGUGUAGGACUAGGUGAGGACUCUGUGUAGGACUAGGUGAGGACUCUGUGUAGGACUAGGUGAGGACUCUGUGUAGGACUAGGUGAGGACUCUGUGUAGGACUAGGUGAGGACUCUGUGUAGGACUAGGUGAGGACUCUGUGUAGGACUAGGUGAGGACUCUGUGUAGGACUAGGUGAGGACUCUGUGUAGGACUAGGUGAGGACUCUGUGUAGGACUAGGUGAGGACUCUGUGUAGGACUAGGUGAGGACUAUGUCUUUACAGAUAGCUCAGUGAUAAAGCAUGUCCCCUGUGUUUUACAAAGUAGCACUCACCAAGUUCAAUAGGCAAAAUUACACUCAGUCAAGUUGCCCCCAGAAUACAUUCCCCUGUGGACUAGCUUUAGUUAUCCUCUCAAUGUAGAAUUGUAUGAUCUGCAUGGCUUCUGCACCAUGAGGUCCCCUCUGUGAGGGCCUAACAAAGUGUGAUAAGUCACUGGAAAUGACCUAAGUUGUGUCCACUAGUUUUGGAGCCCAUGGCCUUGACAACACAAGUGCAGGGGCUUGUUCAGCUGUCCAGAGGAGAUUAGUGUCCCUGCUUCUAUUCUGAGCAGCACUGUCUUGUCUUGAAUGACAGAGCACAGUGGUCCUUAGGGCUCGCGUGGCCAGCCGCAUCUCCGUACAGCAGGAGCCUGACCCCCCCACCCUUUGUUCCUCACUGAAGGACAUGAUCUUUUAAAAGACUCCUUUAGAGUGGCUGUUGUUUUUGUGUAGAGCUAGUUGGUGUGUAGAACUAGUAGCAGUUAGUGUGUAGAACUAGUGGCAGUUGGUGUGUAGAACUAGUGGCAGUUGGUGUGUAGAACUAGUGGCAGUUGGUGUGUAGAACUAGUGGCAGUUGGUGUGUAGAACUAGUGGCAGUUGGUGUGUAGAACUAGUGGCAGUUGGUGUGUAGAACUAGUGGCAGUUGGUGUGUAGAACUAGCGGCAGUUGGUGUGUAGAACUAGCGGCAGCUGGUGUGUAGAACUAGCGGCAGCUGGUGUGUAGAACUAGCGGCAGCUGGUGUGUAGAACUAGCGGCAGCUGGUGUGUAGAACUAGCGGCAGCUGGUGUGUAGAACUAGCGGCAGCUGGUGUGUAGAACUAGCGGCAGCUGGUGUGUAGAACUAGCGGCAGCUGGUGUGUAGAACUAGCGGCAGCUGGUGUGUAGAACUAGCGGCAGCUGGUGUGUGUGUGUGUGUGUGUAGAACUAACUAGUGGUAGGUAACUGGUCAGAAAAGGGUGAGCUGGAAAUGAACUGUUGAGGCCCUUUAUUCAUUUUAGCACCUAGUUAAGUAUCACGUCAGUCAGUGGCAGUCCAGUGGAAUGUACACUCUCCUAUACUGGACACAUCAUUAACACACUGUUCAUAAGACCAUAUACAAUUCCUGUAUGUCAUCUUAUACAAUACAAUACAAUUAUUGUAUAGGUGUUAUUUUAUCAGACAAGUCACUAUUAGAAUAAAUUGGUAACACUUGAUCAACUUUCAUAAAUAAGCAUUAAUAAACAAAUGUUUUUUCAUUAUUUGUAAACAUUUAUAACCAUUUAUAAUGUAAUAAAAGUUAUUAUAAAGUGUUACCUAAAGAAUCCACUGCUUCUGCAUACUCUAGACUAGAGAAAUAGCUAUUGGCUGGAGGAGCAGCUUGGCUGGGUGCUGCAGGAAUACAGGCGAGCCCAUUUGGCUGGAGGAGCAGCUAGGCUGGGUGCUGCAGGAGAAGCUAGACUGGGUGCUGCAGGAAUACAGGUGGGCCCCAUUGGCUGGAGGAGAAGCUAGGCUGGGUGCUGCAGGAGAAGCUAGGCUGGGUGCUGCAGGAAUACAGGUGGGCCCCAUUGGCUGGAGGAGAAGCUAGGCUGGGUGCUGCAG
Molecule: long non-coding RNA, 2464 nt
Organism: Oncorhynchus keta (chum salmon)
Lineage: Eukaryota; Metazoa; Chordata; Actinopteri; Salmoniformes; Salmonidae
Exons: 4
Source: RefSeq, a predicted model, not a curated record